Molecule: ribosomal RNA, 489 nt
Filed under: uncultured bacterium
Lineage: Bacteria
Description: bacterial SSU rRNA
Rfam family: Bacterial small subunit ribosomal RNA
Source: RNAcentral
AGAGUUUGAUCAUGGCUCAGAAUGAACGUUGGCGGCAUGGAUUAGGCAUGCAAGUCGAGCGAGAACCAAGGGAGCUUGCUCCCGAGGGGACAGCGGCGAAAGGGAGAGUAACAGGUGGAUACCUACCUUCAGGCUUGGGAUAGCGUCGGGAAACUGGCGGUAAUACCGAAUAACAUCUACGGAUCAAAGCUCCGGCGCCUGAAGAUGGGUCUGCUCACUAUUAGCUAGUUGGUAGGGUAAUGGCCUACCAAGGCGACGAUGGUUAGCGGGCGUGAGAGCGUGGCCCGUCUCACUGGGACUGAGAUACUGCCCAGACACCUACGGGUGGCUGCAGUCGAGAAUCUUCGGCAAUGGACGCAAGUCUGACCGAGCGAUGCCGCGUGCGGGAUGAAGGCCUUCGGGUUGUAAGCCGCUGUCAGAGGGGAAGAAAUUUUGACUGAACCUCAGAGGAAGGACGGGCUAAGUUCGUGCCAGCCGCCGCGGUAAUAC